GACGAACGCUGGCGGCGUGCUUAACACAUGCAAGUCGAACGGUGAAGCGCCUUCCUUUUUGGUGGGUGUGGAUGAGUGGCGAACGGGUGAGUAACACGUGAGUAACCUGCCCCCUUCUUCUGGAUAACCGCAUGAAAGUGUGGCUAAUACGGGAUAUUCUGGGUCUGCCGCAUGAUGGGUCUGGGAAAGAUAUUGUUUCGGUGGGGGAUGGGCUCGCGGCCUAUCAGCUUGUUGGUGGGGUGAUGGCCUACCAAGGCGGUGACGGGUAGCCGGCCUGAGAGGGUGGACGGUCACACUGGGACUGAGACACGGCCCAGACUCCUACGGGAGGCAGCAGUGGGGAAUAUUGCACAAUGGGCGCAAGCCUGAUGCAGCGACGCCGCGGGAGGGAUGGAGGCCUUCGGGUUGUGAACCUCUUUCGCCAGUGAAGCAGGCCUGCCUCGUUUGUGGGUGGGUUGACGGUAGCUGGAUAAGAAGCGCCGGCUAACUACGUG
This 494-nucleotide ribosomal RNA is filed under the name uncultured bacterium. RNAcentral describes it as "partial 16S ribosomal RNA". It matches the Rfam family "Bacterial small subunit ribosomal RNA", at positions 28 to 507 of the family's 1533-position model. The record is from RNAcentral.